AACGAACGCUGGCGGCAUGCCUAACACAUGCAAGUCGAACGAGACCUUCGGGUCUAGUGGCGCACGGGUGCGUAACGCGUGGGAAUCUGCCCUUGGGUUCGGAAUAACAGUGAGAAAUUACUGCUAAUACCGGAUGAUGUCUUCGGACCAAAGAUUUAUCGCCCAGGGAUGAGCCCGCGUAGGAUUAGCUAGUUGGUGGGGUAAUGGCCUACCAAGGCGACGAUCCUUAGCUGGUCUGAGAGGAUGAUCAGCCACACUGGGACUGAGACACGGCCCAGACUCCUACGGGAGGCAGCAGUGGGGAAUAUUGGACAAUGGGCGCAAGCCUGAUCCAGCAAUGCUGCGUGAGUGAUGAAGGCCUUAGGGUUGUAAAGCUCUUUUACCCGGGAUGAUAAUGACAGUACCGGGAGAAUAAGCUCCGGCUAACUCCGUG
This 433-nucleotide ribosomal RNA is filed under the name uncultured bacterium. RNAcentral's name for it is "partial 16S ribosomal RNA". It matches the Rfam family "Bacterial small subunit ribosomal RNA", at positions 29 to 507 of the family's 1533-position model. The record is from RNAcentral.